This 582-nucleotide ribosomal RNA is filed under the name Phomopsis sp. 131AM/T. Its description in RNAcentral is "eukaryotic LSU rRNA". The stretch from base 208 to 361 matches the Rfam family "5.8S ribosomal RNA". Lineage: Eukaryota; Fungi; Ascomycota; Sordariomycetes; Diaporthales; Diaporthaceae. The record is from RNAcentral.
UCCGUAGGUGAACCUGCGGAGGGAUCAUUGCUGGAACGCGCUUCGGCGCACCCAGAAACCCUUUGUGAACUUAUACCUAUUUGUUGCCUCGGCGCAGGCCGGCCUUUUGUGACAAAGGCCCCCUGGAAACAGGGAGCAGCCCGCCGGCGGCCAACUAAACUCUUGUUUCUAUAGUGAAUCUCUGAGUAAAAAACAUAAAUGAAUCAAAACUUUCAACAACGGAUCUCUUGGUUCUGGCAUCGAUGAAGAACGCAGCGAAAUGCGAUAAGUAAUGUGAAUUGCAGAAUUCAGUGAAUCAUCGAAUCUUUGAACGCACAUUGCGCCCUCUGGUAUUCCGGAGGGCAUGCCUGUUCGAGCGUCAUUUCAACCCUCAAGCCUGGCUUGGUGAUGGGGCACUGCCUUCUAACGAGGGCAGGCCCUGAAAUCUAGUGGCGAGCUCGCUAGGACCCCGAGCGUAGUAGUUAUAUCUCGUUCUGGAAGGCCCUGGCGGUGCCCUGCCGUUAAACCCCCAACUUCUGAAAAUUUGACCUCGGAUCAGGUAGGAAUACCCGCUGAACUUAAGCAUAUCAAUAAGCGGAGGAA